UAAGGGCGCACGGUGGAUGCCUUGGCACUAGAAGCCGAUGAAGGACGUUACUAACGACGAUAUGCUUUGGGGAGCUGUAAGUAAGCUUUGAUCCAGAGAUUUCCGAAUGGGGAAACCCAGCAUGAGUUAUGUCAUGUUAUCGAUAUGUGAAUACAUAGCAUAUCAGAAGGCACACCCGGAGAACUGAAACAUCUUAGUACCCGGAGGAAGAGAAAGAAAAUUCGAUUCCCUUAGUAGCGGCGAGCGAAACGGGAAGAGCCCAAACCAACAAGCUUGCUUGUUGGGGUUGUAGGACACUCUAUACGGAGUUACAAAGGACGACAUUAGACGAAUCAUCUGGAAAGAUGAAUCAAAGAAGGUAAUAAUCCUGUAGUCGAAAAUGUUGUCUCUCUUGAGUGGAUCCUGAGUACGACGGAGCACGUGAAAUUCCGUCGGAAUCUGGGAGGACCAUCUCCUAAGGCUAAAUACUCUCUAGUGACCGAUAGUGAACCAGUACCGUGAGGGAAAGGUGAAAAGCACCCCGGAAGGGGAGUGAAAUAGAACCUGAAACCGUGUGCUUACAAGUAGUCAGAGCCCGUUAAUGGGUGAUGGCGUGCCUUUUGUAGAAUGAACCGGCGAGUUACGAUUUGAUGCAAGGUUAAGCAGUAAAUGUGGAGCCGUAGCGAAAGCGAGUCUGAAUAGGGCGUUUAGUAUUUGGUCGUAGACCCGAAACCAGGUGAUCUACCCUUGGUCAGGUUGAAGUUCAGGUAACACUGAAUGGAGGACCGAACCGACUUACGUUGAAAAGUGAGCGGAUGAACUGAGGGUAGCGGAGAAAUUCCAAUCGAACCUGGAGAUAGCUGGUUCUCUCCGAAAUAGCUUUAGGGCUAGCCUCAAGUGAUGAUUAUUGGAGGUAGAGCACUGUUUGGACGAGGGGCCCCUCUCGGGUUACCGAAUUCAGACAAACUCCGAAUGCCAAUUAAUUUAACUUGGGAGUCAGAACAUGGGUGAUAAGGUCCGU
RNAcentral lists this ribosomal RNA (1000 nucleotides) under Staphylococcus aureus. Its description in RNAcentral is "partial 23S ribosomal RNA". It matches the Rfam family "Bacterial large subunit ribosomal RNA", at positions 12 to 1008 of the family's 2925-position model. Lineage: Bacteria; Bacillati; Bacillota; Bacilli; Caryophanales; Staphylococcaceae. The record is from RNAcentral.